AUGCUUACGGUGUCGCCGAAGAAUGAUAUUCAUGUCGUUUCCGCCUUCCUCGUCUUCGCUUCUGAAUAUUGCUCAGCUGUAAAUUAUGGCUAUCAUGAGCUGUCCAAUUCUGUUUCUGAUUUAAUUCUUCUGUGCAUGGAUGGUACAAACAUGGGACGAUGGGCUGUCAUGGUAAAUAAGGUCUUCAUAUUUGCAAGGCAUUUAGCAUGA
Molecule: non-coding RNA, 210 nt
Organism: Vicia faba (fava bean)
Lineage: Eukaryota; Viridiplantae; Streptophyta; Magnoliopsida; Fabales; Fabaceae
Source: the annotation of a GenBank genome assembly